AGGUCGUUUUGGGGGCAAUUUCGAAGUAGACCCUUGUAGCGCUCCCAUGCUUCAAACAGUGACUCCCUCACUUGUUGUUCAAAGUUAAAAAUGGCCUUUUUGAGCUU
Lactuca sativa (garden lettuce) is the source of this 107-nucleotide small nucleolar RNA. The record is from RefSeq and is a predicted model, not a curated record. NCBI's taxonomy places the organism in Eukaryota, Viridiplantae, Streptophyta, Magnoliopsida, Asterales, Asteraceae.